RNAcentral lists this ribosomal RNA (332 nucleotides) under uncultured Methylobacterium sp. RNAcentral describes it as "bacterial SSU rRNA". It matches the Rfam family "Bacterial small subunit ribosomal RNA", at positions 1 to 359 of the family's 1533-position model. The record is from RNAcentral. Lineage: Bacteria; Pseudomonadati; Pseudomonadota; Alphaproteobacteria; Hyphomicrobiales; Methylobacteriaceae.
UUCGCCCUUAGAGUUUGAUCCUGGCUCAGAGCGAACGCUGGCGGCAGGCUUAACACAUGCAAGUCGAGCGGGCCCUUCGGGGUCAGCGGCAGACGGGUGAGUAACGCGUGGGAACGUGCCCUUCGGUUCGGAAUAACCCUGGGAAACUAGGGCUAAUACCGGAUACACCCCUUGGGGGAAAGGUUUACUGCCGAAGGAUCGGCCCGCGUCUGAUUAGCUAGUUGGUGAGGUAACGGCUCACCAAGGCGACGAUCAGUAGCUGGUCUGAGAGGAUGAUCAGCCACACUGGGACUGAGACACGGCCCAGACUCCUACGGGAGGCAGCAGAAGGG